GGGGGUGUAGCUCAGUUGGGAGAGCACCUGCCUUGCACGCAGGGGGUCAGGAGUUCGAAUCUCCUCAUCUCCACCA
Molecule: transfer RNA, 76 nt
Filed under: Tepidanaerobacter acetatoxydans Re1
Lineage: Bacteria; Bacillati; Bacillota; Clostridia; Thermosediminibacterales; Tepidanaerobacteraceae
Also listed under: 1 other name
Description: tRNA-Ala (TGC) (tRNA-Ala-TGC-1-1)
Rfam family: tRNA
About the family: Transfer RNA (tRNA) molecules are approximately 80 nucleotides in length. Their secondary structure includes four short double-helical elements and three loops (D, anti-codon, and T loops).
Source: RNAcentral